Molecule: long non-coding RNA, 657 nt
Filed under: Marmota monax (woodchuck)
Lineage: Eukaryota; Metazoa; Chordata; Mammalia; Rodentia; Sciuridae
Source: RNAcentral
AUUUAUUUUUGAAUCUUAAGUACAUAUUCAGUAACCAUGGAAAUAGUCAUACUUGAUGUUUAAAGCUGAUGCUAUACUCUCAAAAAUAUAGAUGUGAGGCAAUAUAAAGAACUGUGUUAGAGAUAAAAUUAUGUUUUUAUGCUGUAUACUAUAACUAUUCAAGAAUAUCAUGGAAAAACAGGUAAGGAUUGAUGAGAAACAUGGAAAUAUGAAAAUUAGAUUCAGAUUGGUGAUCCUGUGUGCUUUUUAAAAAUCUUUUGAUCUUUCCCAAUAUUGUCUUAUGCAUUCUAACUAAAACAAAAAAAAACCAAAACCAGAGUAAAGAUGUGCCAGCAAACUUGAAGCAUAUCACACAGUUCAUAGACAUUCGCGAUGCUUAAGAGCCAUGUUAAAAGUUUAUAGUGUCAUCUAAGAGAAGAUACAGUUUCAAGUGCCUUUGUACUAAAGCAUAAGAGUUUGUCUGAUAUGAUUUUGAUACUGGGGAUGUUCAUCUUCUAUUUCAGAGAUCUUAUUUUUGCUGCUAGAUAAUGUUCACAAGUUUUCAUAGUUUGUUCCUUCUGUGAACUCAACUUUUCUCUCGUAUUUAGUCUGUGUCUGAUUUCUUCAAUAAUGUUGAAAAUGCUUCAGAAUAGAAGGGAAACUUUGAAUUGGCCUGAU